AAAUUGACGGGGGCCCGCACAAGGCGGCGGAGCAUGCGGAUUAAUUCGAUGCAACGCGAAGAACCUUACCAAGGCUUGACAUACACCGGUAACGCCCAGAGAUGGGUGCCCCUUUGUGGUCGGUGGACAGGUGGUGCAUGGUUGUCGUCAGCUCGUGUCGUGAGAUGUUGGGUUAAGUCCCGCAACGAGCGCAACCCUCGUCCUAUGUUGCCAGCGGGUCAUGCCGGGGACUCAUGGGAGACUGCCGGGGUCAACUCGGAGGAAGGUGGGGAUGACGUCAAAUCAUCAUGCCCCUUAUGUCUUGGGCUUCACGCAUGCUACAAUGGCCGGUACAAAGGGCUGCGAUACCGCGAGGUGGAGCGAAUCCCAGAAAGCCGGUCUCAGUUCGGAUUGGGGUCUGCAACUCGACCCCAUGAAGUCGGAGUCGCUAGUAAUCGCAGAUCAGCAACGCUGCGGUGAAUACGUUCCCGGGCCUU
RNAcentral lists this ribosomal RNA (476 nucleotides) under uncultured Curtobacterium sp. RNAcentral's name for it is "bacterial SSU rRNA". It matches the Rfam family "Bacterial small subunit ribosomal RNA", at positions 908 to 1382 of the family's 1533-position model. The record is from RNAcentral. Lineage: Bacteria; Bacillati; Actinomycetota; Actinomycetes; Micrococcales; Microbacteriaceae.